RNAcentral lists this ribosomal RNA (433 nucleotides) under uncultured bacterium. RNAcentral's name for it is "partial 16S ribosomal RNA". It matches the Rfam family "Bacterial small subunit ribosomal RNA", at positions 29 to 507 of the family's 1533-position model. The record is from RNAcentral.
AACGAACGCUGGCGGCAUGCCUAACACAUGCAAGUCGAACGAGACCUUCGGGUCUAGUGGCGAACGGGUGCGUAACGCGUGGGAACCUGCCCUUAGGUUCGGAAUAACUCCCCGAAAGGGGUGCUAAUACCGGAUAAUGUCUUCGGACCAAAGAUUUAUCGCCCUUGGAUGGGCCCGCGUUGGAUUAGCUAGUUGGUAGGGUAAAAGCCUACCAAGGCGACGAUCCAUAGCUGGUCUGAGAGGAUGAUCAGCCACACUGGGACUGAGACACGACCCAGACUCCUACGGGAGGCAGCAGUGGGGAAUAUUGGACAAUGGGCGAAAGCCUGAUCCAGCAAUGCCGCGUGAGUGAUGAAGGCCUUAGGGUUGUAAAGCUCUUUUACCCGGGAUGAUAAUGACAGUACCGGGAGAAUAAGCUCCGGCUAACUCCGUG